GACAGAGGGGGCAAGCGUUGCUCGGAAUCACUGGGCGUAAAGGGUGCGUAGGUGGUGAGGUAAGUCGGAUGUGAAAGCUCGGAGCUCAACUCCGAAAUGGCAUUGGAAACUACCUUGCUCGAGGGUUGGAGGGGGGACUGGAAUGCUUGGUGUAGCAGUGAAAUGCGUAGAUAUCAAGCGGAACACCAGUGGCGAAGGCGAGUCCCUGGACAACUCCUGACACUGAGGCACGAAAGCUAGGGGAGCAAACAGG
Molecule: ribosomal RNA, 253 nt
Filed under: uncultured bacterium
Lineage: Bacteria
Description: partial 16S ribosomal RNA
Rfam family: Bacterial small subunit ribosomal RNA
Source: RNAcentral